GUCUUCCUUGUCGUGGGGAGCAUAAUAUCCAAUGAGCGUUUAGUGAGGAUAUUUAUGCUGACACCAUUACAAAUAUAUAUUCCCCGUGCGGCGAUUGCUGCCACACCGUGUGUGUGUGGCAGGCAACGGCGUUCGGAAUUUUUGGAAAA
Ceratitis capitata (Mediterranean fruit fly) is the source of this 149-nucleotide small nuclear RNA. RefSeq annotates it as U4atac minor spliceosomal RNA. The record is from RefSeq and is a predicted model, not a curated record. The transcript has a single exon. NCBI's taxonomy places the organism in Eukaryota, Metazoa, Arthropoda, Insecta, Diptera, Tephritidae.